RNAcentral lists this long non-coding RNA (2817 nucleotides) under Lathyrus oleraceus (garden pea). Its description in RNAcentral is "Pisum sativum (pea) long non-coding RNA (PSAT_LNC021965)". Lineage: Eukaryota; Viridiplantae; Streptophyta; Magnoliopsida; Fabales; Fabaceae. The record is from RNAcentral.
GUUUAAUUUCCUUUUUUUUGUUGAAAUGAUUUGAUUGAUAAGCAGGGUGUAGUAGCUGAUUUGAAGAAUCAAAUACUGUGUUUGCAAAAGGAGAACCAAAUUCUUAAGAUGAAGGUCCAAAAGUGAACUAUAUAAUUUUUUUUCGUAUUUUUCAUGUCUUUAAUUUUUAUUUUAGCAUUAACUGUUAUUUUGAACUGUUUGUAGUUAUUUUGAAAUAUUUCUUUUAUUUACAGAAUGAUGAACUUGAGGCUAUUCCUAAAAGAAUCAUUGGAUUGAGUAACGUUUUUUAUUUAAUUUUGCAUUGCGGUUGUAUAUUGAUAUUGAUUGAGUAAAGUUUUUUUUGUGUUGUAUGUGUAUUUAAUUAAAAUGUGUUAUACCAUUCCUUACAGACUAGGAAUGUAGAAUAACAUAUUUUAACAAUAAAGUAACAGAUUUUGACAAACUGAAAUUUAUCCAAUAAAAUUAACUAGCUCAAGAUAAGUAACUGCCCAUAACCGAAUUUAACUAACUGAAAUCUGAUAAAAUACUAACAAACUAACUCAAUUGUUUAUCUAUAAGUAUUGACUUCAGAACUUGUUAUUCUAAAUUCUCAUUUGUAGACCCUUUUACUAUAUUUUCUUUUCUUCAUCUUGCACACACAGUGUAAUUUGCUUGGCUAACCAAGUAAUUAUUGCAAUGAAUACCAGAAAACUUGAAUCUAUUGAGCCACAUUUGACUACUAUAGAAGUUUUGGGAAUGAAUGGAACAAAACUUGAAUUUCUUGAGCUUGGAAAAGAAAUGGAAAAGGUAAAUCAAUUAAUCUGUUUUUUUAAUAUGGUGUUUAGUUUUUUGCUAUAAUUCUUUUUCCUUAAUUUUGAAUUUGAUUUUUGAUUUCUUAGUGUAUUGUUCUUGAUCGUUGGAGUGGGAUGUAGAACAUAUUCAUAGACUUUCUUGAGAUUUCAAAACGAGCUCAUGAAUUUGUCUUUUAAUUCCGCUUUUGGUUUUUAUAUUAACUUUUUUGCAAUUUAUUUACUUAAUUUUGUUAUGUUUGAUAUUGUGGUCAACCAUUGUUGAUUAAGUUAUCCUGAACAAGAUUUUUUUGGAGCAGGAAAUGGUUUCCCUUCCCAAGGUUAACGAAAAUUUAUUUUAUUAACUUUUGAUUAUUUUCUUAGUUUUGUUGUGAUAUUUCUGUUUAAUUUCCUUUUUGUUGUUGAAAUGAUUUGUUUGAUAAGUAGGGUGUAGUAGAUUAUUUGAAGAAUCAAAUACUAUGUUUGCAAAAGGUGAACCAAAUUCUUAAUAUGAAGGUCCAAAAGUGAACUCUAUAAUUUUUUUGCGUAUUUUUCAUGUCUUUAAUUUUUAUUUUAGCCUUAACUAUUAUUUUGAACUGUUUGUAGUUAUUUUGAAAUAUUUCUUUUAUUUACAGAAUGAUGAACUUGAGGUUAUUCCUAGAAGAGUCAUUGGAUUGAAAAAUGUUUUUUAUUUAAUUUUGCGUUCCGGUUGUAUAUUGAUAUUGAUUGAGUAAAUUUUUUUCUUGCUUUGUACGCGUAUUUAAUUAAAAUGUGUUAUACCAUUCCUUACACACUAGGAACGUAGAAUAACAUAUUUUAACAAUAAAGUAACAAAUUUUGACUAAGUGAAAUUUAUCCAAUAAAAUUAACUAACUCAAGAUAAGUAACGGCCCAUAAUAGAAUAUAACUAACUGAAAUAUGAUUAAAAAAACUAACAAACUAACUCAAUUGUUUAUCUAUAAGUAUUGGCUUCAGAACUUGUUAUUCUAAAUUCUCAUUUCUAAACCCUUUUACUAUAUUUUCUCUUCUUCAUCUUGCACACACAGUGUAAUUUGCUUGGCUAACCAAGUAAUUAUUGCAAUGAAUACCAGAAAACUUGAAUCUAUUGAGCCACAUUUGGCUACCGUAGAAGUUUUGGGAAUGAACGGAACAAAACUUGAAUUUCUUGAGAUUGGAAAAGAAAUGGAAAAGGUAAAUCAAUUUAAUCUCUUUUUUUAAUAUGGUGUUUUGUUUUUUGCUAUAAUUCUUUUUCCUUAAUUUUGAAUUUGAUUUUUGACUUGUUAGUGUAUUGUUCUUGAUCGUUGGAGUGGGACGUAGAACAAAUUCAUAGAAUUUCUUGAGAUUUCAAAAUGAGAUCAUGAAUUUGUGUUUUAAUUCCGCUUUUGAUUUUUAUAUUAAUUUUUUUGCAAUUUAUUUACUUAAUUUUGUUAUGUUUGAUAUUGUAGUCAACCAUUGCUGAUUAAGUUAUCCUUAACAAGAUUUUUUUGGAGGAGGAAGUGGUUUCCCUUCCAAAAGUUAAUGAAAAUUUAUUUUAUUAACUUUUGAUUAUUUUCUGAGUUUUAUUGUGAUAUUUCUGUUUAAUUUCCUUUUUUUUUGAAAUGAUUUGUUUGAUAAGCAGGGUGUAGUAGCUGAUUUGAAGAAUCAAAUACUGUGGUUGCAAAAGAAGAACCAAAUUCUUAAGAUGAAGGUCCAAAAGUGAAGUCUAUAAUUUUUUUGCGUAUUUUUCAUGUCUUUAAUUUUUAUUUUAGCAUCAAUUGUUAUUUUGAACUGUUUGUAGUUAUUUUGAAAUAUUUCUUUUAUUUACAGAAUGAUGAACUUGAGGCUAUUCCUAGAAGAAUCAUUGGAUUGAGUAAUGUUUUUUAUUUAAUUUUGCGUUGUGGUUGUAUAUUGAUAUUGAUUGAGUAAAAUGUGUUAUACCAUUCCUUACACACAAGGAACGUAGAAUAACAUAUUUUAACAAUAAUGUAAUAAAUUUUAACAAACUGAAAUUUAUCCAAUAAAAUUAACUAACUCACGAUAAGUAAUUGCCCAUAAUAGAAGUUAAUUAACU